CCUACGGGAGGCUGCAGUGGGGAAUAUUGCACAAUGGGGGAAACCCUGAUGCAGCGACGCCGCGUGAGUGAAGAAGUCAUUCGUUAUGUAAAGCUCUAUCAGCAGGGAAGCAAAUGACGGUACCUGAGUCAGACGCCCCGGCUAACUACGUGCCAGCAGCCGCGGUAAUACGGAGGGGGCCAGCGUUAUCCGGAUUUACUGGGGGUAAAGGGAGCGUAGACGGCAGUGCAAGUCUGGAGUGAAAGGCGGGGGCUCAACCCCCGGACUGCUCUGGAAACUGUACGGCUGGAGUGCAGGAGAGGUAAGUGGAAUUCCUGGUGUAGCGGUGAAAUGCGUAGAUAGUAGGAGGAACACCAGUGGCGAAGGCGGCUUACUGGACUGUAACUGACGUUGAGGCUCGAAAGCGUGGGGAGCAAACAGGAUUAGAUACCCCUGUAGUC
This 440-nucleotide ribosomal RNA is filed under the name uncultured bacterium. RNAcentral's name for it is "partial 16S ribosomal RNA". It matches the Rfam family "Bacterial small subunit ribosomal RNA", at positions 338 to 795 of the family's 1533-position model. The record is from RNAcentral.